Molecule: unclassified non-coding RNA, 1173 nt
Filed under: Hevea brasiliensis (rubber tree)
Lineage: Eukaryota; Viridiplantae; Streptophyta; Magnoliopsida; Malpighiales; Euphorbiaceae
Source: RNAcentral
UAUCAAUCAGAUAGCACAAAUUUGUAAAACUUAAAUUUACAUACAUAUGAUAUUUUGGAUGAAUAUGGUAUACACAUAUCCAAAUGAAACAUUUCCUGUAAAAGAAAAAAAAAAUGAAACACUCACGUAUUAAACUAUCCCAUUCUCUUUUGUACUCAGAGAAUUACUUGACAGAGAAUCCAAGUAAUGAACAUAACAUCCCUCAGAAGAAAAUUCGGAGUUAAUGCUAGAACAUUAUGAUCUUGAGAUCAAGCAUUGAAGAUUAUAGCCCUGCUCCAGGAUGCCACUUUAUGCUGCAUCCAACACUUUGUUUCUGAAUUGAUGAGACUGGCUGGCCACUAAGAACACAAUCUAUCGCCAGACUUAGGUCCCUUCCAGUGACAGGCACAUUAUUAUUGGGUCGGGAAUCAUCAAACUGGCCAUGAUACACCAGGUCAAAUGGCCUUCGACCAUCCUUUUUAAACAGAAAAAACUCCGGCGUGCAAACUGCUCCAAAAUUUCGAGCAACUUCUUGUGACUCAUCAUAUAGAUAAGGAAAUGGGUAAUUAAAUAUUUUAGCCUCUUCUGCCAUGAAUUCUGGCCCAUCCUGCGGGUGAGUAGCCACAGAAUUUGAAGAUAUGGCAACAACUGCAAGUCCUUUCUUCAUAUAGAAAUUUGAAAGCUUCACUAUAUCCUUCUUCAAGUGUUUAACAAAUGGACAGUGAUUGCAGAUAAACAUAACCAGCAAAGCAGGAUAUGACUCAAAAUCUUCCGCUUUCCACAUUUUCCCAGUUAGAGGCUCUGGCAGCUCAAAAUGAGGCGCUCUGAAGCCUAAGGAGACACCUUGUGACUCAGUCCUAGCAGCUCGAACUAAGAGCUUCCUGAAGGGCAGAGUGUUGUUCUUCCUGCACCGGAGCUGCAGAGGAUUGAAACCCAUAUUCGAGGAUGCCCAUGUAGACACAAAGGCUGCACUGGGUUUUGAUAACAUGGGCUGGAAAGGCAGUAUUCGUGCGCCUGCUGCUACGAACGCCACACUCAUCAGAGCAGUGGCAGCCAUGGUUGUGUCUUUGAUUAUUGAAAUUCUGUUGGAGAUAGUGUUCCUUUUGCGGCUUUUGCCCGUUGCCUCCCCCCUCGGCCGCAGGCUCUGAUGAGGGCAAAAAGCGUCUUUUGCGCUUAAAUGGGCAAGGUUACCAU